UACGUAGGGUGCAAGCGUUGUCCGGAAUUAUUGGGCGUAAAGAGCUCGUAGGCGGUUUGUCACGUCUGCUGUGAAAUCCCGAGGCUCAACCUCGGGCCUGCAGUGGGUACGGGCAGACUGGAGUGCGGUAGGGGAGAUUGGAAUUCCUGGUGUAGCGGUGGAAUGCGUAGAUAUCUGGAGGAAUACCGGUGGCGAAGGCGGCAUCCUGGACCGACAUUGACGCUGAUGAGCGAAAGCUAGGGGAGCAAACGGG
Molecule: ribosomal RNA, 253 nt
Filed under: uncultured bacterium
Lineage: Bacteria
Description: partial 16S ribosomal RNA
Rfam family: Bacterial small subunit ribosomal RNA
Source: RNAcentral